Molecule: ribosomal RNA, 254 nt
Filed under: uncultured bacterium
Lineage: Bacteria
Description: partial 16S ribosomal RNA
Rfam family: Bacterial small subunit ribosomal RNA
Source: RNAcentral
UACGUAGGGGCCUAGCGUUGUCCGGAAUUAUUGGGCGUAAAGAGCUCGUAGGCGGUUCGGCAAGUCGGAUGUGAAAUCUCCACGCUCAACGUGGAGGGGCCAUUCGAAACUGCCGUGACUCGAGUCCGGUAGGGGAGUGUGGAAUUCCCGGUGUAGCGGUGAAAUGCGUAGAUAUCGGGAGGAACAUCAGUGGCGAAGGCGACCGCCUGGCCCAACACUGACGCUGAGGUGCGAAAGCGUGGGUAGCAAACAGG